GGGAAUCAAACCCGAAACCUUGAGGUCUGCAGAGAGAGAGAGAGAGAGAAACCAGGAUGCGGAGGAGGAGCUCGGACCCCGGUCGUGCGGCCACAAACAGAGAUUGCGCUCUCAAGGCUCUGCGGGACUUCCUCGAGGCCCCGUCCAACGUAGAUGGCCGGAAUCCGCUGCCGACAUAGGAGUGAAGCACUUCGGACGCUAGACUUGGUCUUCGCAUGGUCGACCCCAACAGCUAGUGAUGGACGGUGUAAGCGCCGCCCCGGCCUGAAGUCUCCAGAGGGAGAGAGAGAGAGACUUCCUCCACCCGAGAAAGACUGCGAGGAAGGAAGCCGCUCAUCAACGAUCCUCUGUCACGCCAA
Non-coding RNA from Dermacentor albipictus, 359 nucleotides. The record is from RefSeq and is a predicted model, not a curated record. Lineage: Eukaryota; Metazoa; Arthropoda; Arachnida; Ixodida; Ixodidae.